Long non-coding RNA from Poecilia latipinna (sailfin molly), 1545 nucleotides. RefSeq lists it as uncharacterized. The transcript has 2 exons. The record is from RefSeq and is a predicted model, not a curated record. NCBI's taxonomy places the organism in Eukaryota, Metazoa, Chordata, Actinopteri, Cyprinodontiformes, Poeciliidae.
CUCUCUUCUGUUUUUUCUCCUUCUUUAUUAUUUUUGCCUCGCCAUUCUCCCCCUCCAUCUUUGCUUGAGCACUGAUCGUGUGGCUUGUCUGAGGUUUGGCUGGCUGUGUGGGCUGAGACUGCUCAUCAAUGUCCCUCUGCAGAGCCAGUAGCUUCUCCUGCAGCAGAGCCAAGCAACAAAUCUGCCUUAACGUCCACUAUGAGUGCAGAACACGAACGGCAUCAAAAACAACUACCGCGUCAUCGUCGUUUACAGGCUGUGGAAAGCUGAGCCUGGAGCUGCGUUUACUCCAUCAAGUCACAGUGUAACGGACUACAGAGGCGUUCAAGAGACACUGAAAAUGAGAACGUCUGAAAGAUCUCGUUUCUAUGCUUUUAGGUUCGCUGAGAGGGUUUUGAUUUCAUGCGUUCACUGAUUGAAAAAAGAAACACUUGUGUCUCAUCUUAUGGUUUUUUUUUUUUUGCAUUUCUUGCGUUUUGUCUCAUCGCAACCACAAAGCGCAAUGUAUUUUAUUGGCAUUUUAAGAGACACACCAACACAAAAUACGGUGUUAUAUUUAUUUAUUUUUUGUAAAUAAAUAUCUGAAAAGUGUGGCGUGCGCUUGCUAAAUCUGCUCUGCUCGUCUGAUCCAGAUUUCUCGUGUCUCCUGGGCCGAACUGUCCUAGACUAAAUCACGAUUUUCCCAGAGCGCAGUUUGUAAACACCCUGAAAUUAUUAGUGAAGGCGUCAUGUGUAGCAACCUGGGUUUAAAACCACAAAUAGAUCCACUUUAAAAAGGUUGAGUUGACAAAAAGCAAGUUAGUCUUUUUAAAAAAUUCAAACCAAAAAGUGCAGCUUGCUUUUCUCACUCUGAGUCUUUAUAUUCUUGUUUUCUGAGGCUGUUUAUUCAUAAAUAAAUGCAUUCUUCAAUUGUGUUUUUUUUAUGUGUUUACAUAUAAAAAACAGAAUUAGGAAAAAUAGAAUCAACAUCAUUUAAGAGAGUAAAUGCUGCAUAAGCAAAAUUAACGGAUUUCUUGCAGCCCUGCGAAAGGACAACAGUCUGGAAACUCAAUCGAUGUUUUAUUCUUUGUCCACACUGAUCCAGUUAGGAACCCUGCUAAUUAGACUCCUGAAAGCGAAUAAUUGGAUUCUAUACUUCUUAAGGAUUUUACAUUGAAAAUAGUUUAUUUUCACAAUUUUAUGUUUUAAUGCUUUAAUAUAUUUAGAGACAGAAGACCAACUUUGAUCUAGAGAAAGCUGAAUGUGACAUGAGUGGUAAUUAAUCUGAUUAAGAUAUGAAUCAACCUCAGAAGGUGUCUUAAAGUAUAGAGGAAAAAAUAAGAAGUUUUAUUGUAAAAAGCCUCUUAUUGUGUUAAUGUAAAACCCACUUGGAGGAAAUGUGGGAUGGAUGUUAAACCGGCAACUUAUAUGAUGAGUUAGACAUUUUACCAGCCAGGCUAAGAGACAAAGAAUAGAAGAAACACAAAUAUUUGUAAUUACCAACAGUCUGACUGUGACCGUCUAAAUGUCGACUAUGACUAUCAGAUUUUUGACUUACAGAUUAUU